CAGUCGCCACGGUAAUGCGAAGGGUGCAAGCGUUAAUCGGAAUUACUGGGCGUAAAGCGCACGUAGGCGGCUUGGUAAGUUAGAGGUGAAAGCCUGGAGCUCAACUCCAGAAUUGCCUUUAAGACUGCCGAGCUAGCAGGUGAGAGAGGUAAGUGGAAUUCCGAGUGUAGAGGUGAAAUUCGUAGAUAUUCGGAAGAACACCAGUGGCGAAGGCGGCUUACUGGCUCAUACUGGACGCUGAGGUGCGAAAGCGUGGGGAGCAAACAGGAUUAGAGACCCCAGUAGUCCCUGUCUCUUAUAC
RNAcentral lists this ribosomal RNA (301 nucleotides) under uncultured bacterium. Its description in RNAcentral is "partial 16S ribosomal RNA". It matches the Rfam family "Bacterial small subunit ribosomal RNA", at positions 509 to 807 of the family's 1533-position model. The record is from RNAcentral.